AUGAACAUGUGAACUUGCAAUCAAUACAUUUUGAUCACAAGUAAAAUUGUAUUGCUACAUAAACACACAAUAGAUUGUGAGAUGAUUUUUGCUGGAAACAAUAAUGUGUUUCAUAAUUUUGUUUUAAAGUUUACUGUGACAAACUCUCUGACACCAAAAUAUGAUCAAAGUUUAUUUUAACUUAUUAUUACAAAAUCCACUAUGUACCCAAUAAUUAUUUAUUACCACUAAGAAAUCACCUGUAUUUUAACACUGAUCAACAGAUACAUUUGUUUGAAAUAAUAGUAGCAGUAAUGAGCCAGACCCAAAAAAACCUUCAUUCAACAUAAAGCUGCUCUUUUGUCUUGAAGUAUCAGAAGAGGAGGAACUCCAGAUCUGACAUGAUCUAAUCGUGUCUGAAAGAGACUGUGGAUGAAACGAUUCAGUCUGACUCUUCUCAGAGUGAACACUUGAACAAUGAAUCUUCAUUCACUUAUUCUGCUCUGUGUCUCAACCGUUGCUGUAUUUGGAAAUGUCAUCAAACCAGAUGAAACAAAUGUAGUUGCUGAGAAGGGUUCAAGUGUUACAUUAUCCUGUAGUUAUUCCUCUACAACUUCAGAUCCUCUCUUCUGGUACCGUCAGUAUGGAAGAUCAAAACCUGAAUUUCUUGUUUCCACCUACAGUACUGCAACAGAUCCUGAAGAAUCUAAAGUAGAUCCAAGAUUCUCUGUUAAAGUUGAAAAAAAGGAACAAAUCCACAUGGAUCUGAUCAUCUCCUCUGCUGCAGUAUCAGACUCUGCUCUGUAUUACUGUGCUCUGAGGCCCACAGUCACAGGAAACACAAGAACACUGUACAAAAACCUGCUAGACAAGAGAGAGAUGAGAGAACAUUUCUUGAGAAAGAAACUAGUAUACAAAUAAUUACAUAAUCUAAUGCAAAAAUGAUAAAACAUAAAACAAAGCAAUUUUCUAAAAAUGAGUCAUAUUUUUAAAAAUUUGUUAGACAAUGAGAUGGCGCUGUUUCAGUUGUGCAAUACUUGCAGUUAACCACAAGAGGGCAGUAGUUACUCAAUAUUACAGCAGCUGUUCAUAUCAAUUGUUUACAUUUUAUAUCAGAUUUUACAUUAAAUAUUCUUAAACCUUCACAGAGUGCAGAUCAGAGGACACAGUUGAUCAGACAAACAUGUGACUGAUAUUAUGUUCCAUGUAAUUCCUUUUAUGCAUAAAUAGUCUCUUAAAUAAUUAAAUCAUUUUCAUCAUUAUUAUUUUAGUGUGGGAAAACAUUAAAAAUGCAGGCAUACAAUUAAUUUUAUUUUAACCAUAAACCAUUAUCCACCACAACAAAGAUAGAAAUAAACACUUUGAGCCGAAUGAGAGGGAGGAGUCAAAGAAACCUCGUCAAGCAGACACUAGUGUAGAUCAAGUGCUCUUGCUCAGUACAGUAUUUACAGUCAUUGUAUCACAGACUAGAUCAGGGUGAGAAUAAGAUCUGGAUUUAGACGAGACUUCAUUAAAAUCAG
Molecule: non-coding RNA, 1499 nt
Organism: Megalobrama amblycephala (Wuchang bream)
Lineage: Eukaryota; Metazoa; Chordata; Actinopteri; Cypriniformes; Xenocyprididae
Source: the annotation of a RefSeq genome assembly